GUGUAAGCACCGAUCGCGGAUCGUAUGUGAAGCUUGAACUACGUUAGAAGAGCUGUGAUCCUCUCCACUCGACACGUUCAACAGGCCACAUUAAAUCACCCUCGUCUUACGUUGCGUUAGGGUCAGGAAAGAAAGAGAGAAAGAGAGAGACGACGCACCAAAGUACGUAGCUGUGGAAGAUGAUGAUGGGUGCAAGACUGUCCUGCGUUUCCCAUCUGCGAGUUUCGAGAAAUCGUAAAUCGUAAUGGGCAUCAACUAUCUUGAAAGGAGGGUACGUUUUGCAAAAAGAAGAAGAAGGAAGAAAAAAAAAUAAAAUAACACGGACAAGUUCGAAGAAAAAUUAUGUAGGACAACAUUGGUGUGUUGUUUGUAGAGAAACGAGAGUCCAGCAGGUGAUGAGGCACGCGAUUCGAAAAUUGCUCUCUCUCUCUUUCUCUCUCUCUUUCUCUCUCUCUCUCUCCCAAGGGAGAGAAUCGACAAAGCUGCACGAAUUCUUCGACUAAUUGUCAAUUCUUCACUUUCUUUCAAACGAACGCUUUUCAACUCACUCAUUUUAUACAUUUCUAUCCAUUUAUAUGUACGCGAAUACAUUUAAAAAAAAAACACACACACAUACAUA
This is a long non-coding RNA of Polistes canadensis, 619 nucleotides long. RefSeq lists it as uncharacterized. The transcript has 3 exons. The record is from RefSeq and is a predicted model, not a curated record. Lineage: Eukaryota; Metazoa; Arthropoda; Insecta; Hymenoptera; Vespidae.